This 74-nucleotide transfer RNA is filed under the name Desemzia incerta. Its description in RNAcentral is "tRNA-Arg". It matches the Rfam family "tRNA". Rfam says of the family: Transfer RNA (tRNA) molecules are approximately 80 nucleotides in length. Their secondary structure includes four short double-helical elements and three loops (D, anti-codon, and T loops). Further hydrogen bonds mediate the characteristic L-shaped molecular structure. tRNAs have two regions of fundamental functional importance: the anti-codon, which is responsible for specific mRNA codon recognition, and the 3' end, to which the tRNAs corresponding amino acid is attached (by aminoacyl-tRNA synthetases). tRNAs cope with the degeneracy of the genetic code in two manners: having more than one tRNA (with a specific anti-codon) for a particular amino acid; and 'wobble' base-pairing, i.e. permitting non-standard base-pairing at the 3rd anti-codon position. The record is from RNAcentral. RNAcentral also lists the same sequence under 7 other names. Lineage: Bacteria; Bacillati; Bacillota; Bacilli; Lactobacillales; Carnobacteriaceae.
GCACCCAUAGCUCAAUUGGAUAGAGUACUUGACUACGAAUCAAGCGGUUGCAAGUUCGACUCUUGCUGGGUGCA